This is a long non-coding RNA of Astatotilapia calliptera (eastern happy), 747 nucleotides long. Lineage: Eukaryota; Metazoa; Chordata; Actinopteri; Cichliformes; Cichlidae. The record is from Ensembl.
ACCGUGUAAGAGAGAGGAUUCCAGCUCAGAUCCUGAAGCGUUGGUGUUGAACAUGAAUAACCUGCUACUGUUUACUUUUGGACUGUUUGCUCUCGCAGCAGGUGGAAACGGCGUGCAGGUGUUUUAUUGCGAGCCUGAAAAAUGUGCUCUCAGUGUAAUUAGGGUGUAUUGCAACGAUGAAGCCCUGCUCAAUGACGGAUCCAUGACAGAGUGCUCUGGUCCUCCUCCACACAGAGCUGUCUGUCAGCAUGAUGGUCGAGCAUUUGUUUCCAUGUCUGGGAAUGCUCAUUGUGAAUUUGAAGGGAAUAGUGGAUACAUCACCACAAAAAAUUGUUCAGACCUCAGCAACCUGUGCUCUUUCACUGGAACAACCAAAUCCUCAUCAACCCCAACGGGUUUUGGAAGUCUUGCGGAGGGCCUUACGCAAACUCAUCUCAUCAUCAUCGUAGUAGUAGUUUCAAACCUGGUGUGACUGUUCCCCUAAAAGAGGGCUGCAGUCAGCUGUGAAAGACUACUGAUCAAUAAGUUCAUGCAACCAAGGCUCAAGCCUGACGUGAACCCCCUGCUGUAACGACAAAAUAGCUUAUCCCACAUAACCUCUCCACUCUGAUAUUUUAAAUUUGUUUUAUGUCUUAUGCUUUUAUGAUUGUGUAAACUGCUUGCUUUUAUGUUGCUUUUAUUAUUCUACCAUGUACAGUGUCCUUGAGUGUUCUGAAAGGAGCUUUCAAAUAAAAUGUAUUAUUAUUA